GGCUCGCAGGCGGUUUCUUAAGUCUGAUGUGAAAGCCCCCGGCUCAACCGGGGAGGGUCAUUGGAAACUGGGAAACUUGAGUGCAGAAGAGGAGAGUGGAAUUCCACGUGUAGCGGUGAAAUGCGUAGAGAUGUGGAGGAACACCAGUGGCGAAGGCGACUCUCUGGUCUGUAACUGACGCUGAGGAGCGAAAGCGUGGGGAGCGAACAGGAUUAGAUACCCUGGUAGUCCACGCCGUAAACGAUGAGUGCUAAGUGUUAGGGGGUUUCCGCCCCUUAGUGCUGCAGCUAACGCAUUAAGCACUCCGCCUGGGGAGUACGGUCGCAAGACUGAAACUCAAAGGAAUUGACGGGGGCCCGCACAAGCGGUGGAGCAUGUGGUUUAAUUCGAAGCAACGCGAAGAACCUUACCAGGUCUUGACAUCCUCUGACAACCCUAGAGAUAGGGCUUUCCCUUCGGGGACAGAGUGACAGGUGGUGCAUGGGUGUCGUCAACUCGUGUCGUGAGAUG
Molecule: ribosomal RNA, 510 nt
Filed under: Bacillus sp. (in: firmicutes)
Lineage: Bacteria; Bacillati; Bacillota; Bacilli; Caryophanales; Bacillaceae
Description: bacterial SSU rRNA
Rfam family: Bacterial small subunit ribosomal RNA
Source: RNAcentral